UCCUCCCUCUGUCGGCGUGCUUAACACAUGCAAGUCGAACGGACAGGCCUGCUUUCCCUUGUGGUUUGCGGGUACUCGAGUGGCGAACGGGUGAGUAACACGCGAGUGUUCAGCCCCCAACUUGGGUAUAAGCCCGGGAAACUGGGCCUAAUUCCCGAUAGGACUGCAGGGUGGUGCCUGUGGUGGAAAACGUUUUUCUAGUGGUUGGGGAUGAGCUCGCGGCCUAUCAGCUUGUUGGUGGGGUAAUGGCCUACCACGGCGGCGACGGGUAGCCGGCCUGAGAUGGGGGACGGCCACAUUGAGACUGGGAUACGGCCCAGACGCCUACGGGAGGCAGCGGUGGGGAAUAUUGGACAAUGAGCGGGAGGCUGAUGCGGCGACGGCGCGUGGGAGAUGACGGCCUUCGGGUUGUAAACUCCUUGCGACCGAGAAGAAGCCAACUGGUUGGGAGGGUGGUGACGGUAGUGAUAGAAGAAGCACCGGCUAACUACGUG
RNAcentral lists this ribosomal RNA (494 nucleotides) under uncultured bacterium. RNAcentral describes it as "partial 16S ribosomal RNA". It matches the Rfam family "Bacterial small subunit ribosomal RNA", at positions 34 to 507 of the family's 1533-position model. The record is from RNAcentral.